UGGCUUAGUGGUUAAAGUACUACGGCUGCUAACCAAGAGAUUGGCAGUUCGAAUCUGCC
Molecule: transfer RNA, 59 nt
Filed under: Loxodonta africana (African savanna elephant)
Lineage: Eukaryota; Metazoa; Chordata; Mammalia; Proboscidea; Elephantidae
Rfam family: tRNA
About the family: Transfer RNA (tRNA) molecules are approximately 80 nucleotides in length. Their secondary structure includes four short double-helical elements and three loops (D, anti-codon, and T loops).
Source: Rfam by way of RNAcentral